CCGACCUUAGCUCAGUUGGUAGAGCGGAAGACCGUAGUAGUUGCUGUAAUCUUUAGGUCGCUGGUUCGAUUCCGGCAGGUCGGA
This 84-nucleotide transfer RNA is filed under the name Arabidopsis lyrata subsp. lyrata. RNAcentral's name for it is "tRNA tRNA-Tyr". It matches the Rfam family "tRNA". Rfam says of the family: Transfer RNA (tRNA) molecules are approximately 80 nucleotides in length. Their secondary structure includes four short double-helical elements and three loops (D, anti-codon, and T loops). The record is from Rfam by way of RNAcentral. Lineage: Eukaryota; Viridiplantae; Streptophyta; Magnoliopsida; Brassicales; Brassicaceae.